RNAcentral lists this ribosomal RNA (976 nucleotides) under uncultured bacterium. RNAcentral's name for it is "bacterial SSU rRNA". It matches the Rfam family "Bacterial small subunit ribosomal RNA", at positions 519 to 1507 of the family's 1533-position model. The record is from RNAcentral.
GGGAUGUCACGAGGUACAGCGUUGCCGGAAUACUGGGUGUAAGGGAGCGCAGGCGGGAGAACCAGUUGGAAGUGAAAUCCAUGGGCUCAACCCAUGAACUGCUUUAAAACUGUUUUUCUUGAGUAGUGCAGAGGUAGGCGGAAUUCCCGGUGUAGCGGUGGAAUGCGUAGAUAUCGGGAGGAACACCAGUGGCGAAGGCGGCCUACUGGGCACCAACUGACGCUGAGGCUCGAAAGUGUGGGUAGCAAACAGGAUUAGAUACCCUGGUAGUCCACACCGUAAACGAUGAUUACUAGGUGUUGGAGGAUUGACCCCUUCAGUGCCGCAGUUAACACAAUAAGUAAUCCACCUGGGGAGUACGACCGCAAGGUUGAAACUCAAAGGAAUUGACGGGGGCCCGCACAAGCAGUGGAGUAUGUGGUUUAAUUCGACGCAACGCGAAGAACCUUACCAAGUCUUGACAUCCUGCGACGCACAUAGAAAUAUGUGUUUCCUUCGGGACGCAGAGACAGGUGGUGCAUGGUUGUCGUCAGCUCGUGUCGUGAGAUGUUGGGUUAAGUCCCGCAACGAGCGCAACCCUUAUGGUCAGUUACUACGCAAGAGGACUCUGGCCAGACUGCCGUUGACAAAACGGAGGAAGGUGGGGAUGACGUCAAAUCAUCAUGCCCUUUAUGACUUGGGCUACACACGUACUACAAUGGCGUUAAACAAAGAGAAGCAAGACCGCGAGGUGGAGCAAAACUCAGAAACAACGUCCCAGUUCGGACUGCAGGCUGCAACUCGCCUGCACGAAGUCGGAAUUGCUAGUAAUCGUGGAUCAGCAUGCCACGGUGAAUACGUUCCCGGGCCUUGUACACACCGCCCGUCACACCAUGAGAGCCGGGGGGACCCGAAGUCGGUAGUCUAACCGUAAGGAGGACGCCGCCGAAGGUAAAACUGGUGAUUGGGGUGAAGUCCUAAAAAGGUAGCCGUAAGG